UUACUCCCCAAGUCCGCGGUCCCCCGCGCCUGCUGCCUCCCUGGCCCCAGGGAGGGUGGGGCGCCGAGCCGGGCACGGCGGUCCUGCCGGCUGCGUCUCCCGCCGCCGGGCGAGCGCCCCCAGGCCGAGAGGGCUGGCCCUGCGCGGUGUGGGGCGGCCUGACUGCACCGCGGCUCGGUGGUGGCAACCCGGCCAGGCGGCGGCGGGAGGAAGGGAAUCACCCAGGCGGGCGGCCGGGCGGGCGGCACUUCGGCCCCGUGUUACACGCGAAGAAACCCGCCCAGAGAGGCCGAGGGCUGGCCCGGGCGGCCCAGCGGACUGGCGGGUCUCAGGGCGGCCGUGACUGCGGCCCUGACUGGGUGCUCGGCGCCCUGCGGCCCUGACUGGGUGCUCGGCGCCCUGCGGCCCUGACUGGGUGCUCGGUGCCCUGCGGCCCUGACUGGGUGCUUGGCGCCCUGCGACCCUGACUGCAGCCCUGACUGGGUGCUCGGCGCCCUGCGGCCCUGACUGCAGCCCUGACUGGGUGCUUGGCGCUCUGCGGCAGGUGCGGCCUGGCCCUGCGCCAGGGGCUGAGCACGGGGCCCCGCCAGCCACCUGGCUGCUGGGUGGCUGAGCCCAAAGGUGCGCCUAAGAUCUGGGUUCCGACCCUGCCUGUGGAUUCGCCGUUGGAGUUGCAUUCCUCGUCCCCUGCUGGAAGCUUAAGUGAGAUCCACAUAACCUGAGUCUGCUACCUGAGCCCAGAAAAAAGAAAAAAACAGGAGAUAAAAACAGAAGGGCUCUAAUAUUUGUUAAACACCCACAGCUAUCACCAGCCGGGCGCUUUGCAUACAAUUACCUCGUUUAACCAGGCAACACCCUGCCCGCUGCUGUUACCGCCCCUUUCUACCGCUGGGAAAACCGAGUCUGUAACUGAUCAGGGUCAGGAUGGGAUCUCUGCUGUCUGGCCUCUUUUUAGAAAGUCGCUGGGGGUAAAGUCCAAGCUUCAAGAGGCCGUUUGAACAGGGGUUACUUCCUAGGGAGCUAAAGACCUCUCUGGGGCACCGUCUUGGAGGCGUCCGGGGCAAUUAUAAAUACUGCUUCAAAAUUGGGGCUCCUUGUAAAACCCGGCGGAGGAGCAACCGGGCUAGGAGGCGAGCAGCGGCAGGGAGGAGGCUGAUGUGGCAAUCCUGCAGGCAGGGCGAGAGCAGGAAGGAAGGUCAGGAAAUGAUUAACCGGGCAGGGUAGUGGUUAGAGCGGGGCACCUCCCCGCAGUGCAGCCUUGGAACCCAGGGACGUCCCCUCGGUCACUUCUCCCACCCCUCCACUGCCCGCCCUCCCCCAUGACUUGAUUUCUUCCUCGCAUUCCUUUCCCUAAUGGUGUCCAUCCACCUGGGGCUAUCCUGGCGACCCUUUCCUCCAGUGAAAGGUCCCCUGUCGUUUUCCAAGUUUUGAUUACUGUUGGAGGCUCGGUCCUCGGAUUUUAUGGCGGUAAGGAAUUGUGGAAAGUGUGCCUGCUGUGGAAGCAUGGGUUCAAAUCCUGGUCUGCUGCCUACUUGAUGGCUAACCGGUAGGCAGUAAGGAAUUGUGGAAAGUGUGCCUGCUGUGGAAGCAUGGGUUCAAAUCCUGGUCUGCUGACUACUUGAUGGCUAACCGGUAGCAAGUGUCCUUAGCCCCCCCAAGACUUUGGUUCAUCUGUAAGAUGGGAAAAAUCAUACUGAUCUCACAAGACAGAUGUUAGAAUUCAUGAGGAUUGCCUGCUGGUAGUAGGUGGCCAAUAAAUGACAGGUUGUUGCUCUUGUUAUUUAAUGGCAUAGGGUGAGAGCAUAAUUCCCUGGAAAGGAAGAGGAUAAAGAGCAUAGAUUAACACCUGACGUUUGCUCAAGCUCUUCCACACCUUUCCUCCUAUCGUCCUGUUCUCUUGUUAAGGCCUGACUUGAGCCAGACUUCUCAGCUCUCGCCGGAAUACCUCCUCCAGUUAGUAUCCACGUCCCCUGCAUAGGCCAUGGAGCACGCCCUGCCUUUUUCAUGCUGGUAGGUGCUUGCUUCCUUCUUCAGCCUUUCAGAGAUUCUGUUUCCUUAUCCUCUAGACCUCAGCUUGAACACCACUUCCUCAGAGAAGCCUUUCCUGACCUUGCUGCACCCCCAGCUUCCCUCCACUCUUCAUGCAUGUGAUUCUUUCUUUAAUGUCUGCCUUCCACUUGUAGAAGGGUAGCAAACAAGUGUGUCUGGUUCCCCGCUCUCUCCCUAACCUAACCUGCAGAAGGACCAUGGAGGGUGGCCAGUAGAUAAGUGUUCAGUAAGUGAAUGGAUGAGGGAGUGAGUGAUCAGCGAGCAGUGUCUACCAUGUUCAGGAGCUUAGGAAGUAACCUAUAUACACCUAGUAUUUGCUUCCUUGGAGGGGAUCUCUAAAUUUCCUUUCAGCUCUGAGUUUAUGAUUUUAAUGGAACCAGGAAAGUAAAAGCACCUUGUAAAUUGUAAGCUGUUCAUUUGUUUUUUAGUUUUUAUUAGUGGCUUCUCUCCAACUAAUAAAAACUAAAAAAAAAACAAAAAAACUCGACGGCACUGGGUUUUUCUUUCUCUCCAACUAGAAUGAAAACCCCUAUGAGCAGGGGCUCUGGUUAGUGACUCCCUAGCUACAAGAGUCCCUGAGAGCAAAAUAUGACUGUCAGGGAGUUGGGCAAAAUCAGAAAGGCCUUUCUGGAGCUUUCGCUAGAGUCCCCCCGGCCGAAAAAAAAAAAAAACACAGCGAACUUUCCAGUGUCUUUGAAAGUUUUCGUAAUUAAGAUUAAAAAAGAAGAAGAAGAAAAAGAUAGAAACCGCAGUGAGUGUGUCAUGGGGAAGACCACAGGGCACGCUGGGAAAUCUGCUGUUCCAGUCCCUGUUUCUUCAGCUGCAUUUCAGGGAACCUUGGCUUUCUUGUUCUUGGCCUGCAUCACCUUGGCACUGAAGAGCCCUGACAUAUCAGUGCCGUAGUGAUGAUGCACCAGCCUCUUGUUCCGGUGUGAGGGGACGCCCGGCUGCCUGCCAGGGUGGAGAAAGGGGGGGGGCCGUGGGAGGGUGCUCUAGAUGUCAACCUGCCCACGUGUUUUAAAAGUUUGUAUUAUUCAGAGGGGAGGAAUGCACAAUUUUUAAAAAUAAUUCGUUUUUGUUGAAAAUGUACACAGCAAAACAUACGCCAGUUCGCAAUUCCUACAUGUACAAUUCAGCGACGUUGAUUACAUUCAAGUUGUGCAACCAUUUUCACCCUCCUUUUCCGAAUUGUUCCUCCCCCGUUAACCUAAUCUCAUUGCCCCCUAAGCUUCCUAUCUAACCUUUCAAGUAGCUGUUGUCAAUUUGAUCCCAUGUAGAUGGAGCUCUUUAAAAGAGCAAAAUCUCCAGGCAAACAGGAAGCCGCAAUUUCGAUCAUACUGUCAAAUGGUUCUCGUCUACACCUAUCUAUUUGCCUAUCUAUCUAUACACACAUAUUCAUAUAUAUUUGAAGGGAUGGGAAGAGUGGGGAAAGACAUCUGUUGCCAUUGGGAUCAUGAUCAGGAAAGGUCUCAAGGUUGCUGCAACCUUCCUGUAGCCUUAAACUUGAGAAUUCUGACAAAAUUCUGAGGAAGCUAUAGGUGCUGCUGCUUCAUGGGGGAGGAGUAGGAGCUGGCCAGGUAGAAGGGAAACAGGUAGGGGAGGACACAGGUGUGAGGAAACAUUUUUUCUAUAAUCAGAGAACUAUUUAGGUUCUCUUUCUCUCUAUAUAUAUAUAGUAAAAGUGACCAGGCCCUGGGGAAAACUAACUCUAGCCACCCGACUCGGACAAGGCUUAUUGGAAAUACCUAGAGGACUGGUUUAAUUAUAGUAGAAAUUUUUCUAGGAGCAGAGCCUCCUUGGGAAACUAAAGUUAGAUCAAAAGGAGGCUUGGUGAGUAUUCAGAGUGUUGGUGGGAGGAGGGGGAGUGGGGGAAGCUGCCGCUCAGGGACUCUUCUAUCACCUGGCUGAAUUUUCCUAGCAGCACGUAUCUGAUACCUCCUCGCUUGUUUUCUCGUGUAUUGUCAGUCUCCCCCAUGAGAACAGAGCUUGCAGUCCUGUGCAUUGCCUGAUUCCAGCUCCUGGACUCCAGCCUGGUAGAUGGCAGGCCCUGAGUAACUAUUUGUUGAAUGACUUAAUAAAUGAAUGGUAGGGAUGGACUUCAUCCAUGAGCUGUCUUCCCUACUCAGGAAUGUUUGCAGUCAUUCUCCCCAGUUUUUUUUUUUUUUCCAUGCAGCCCUUUUGCAUCAUCUUACCCAGAGUUCCUCAGUGGUGCCCCAUCUCUGCCAGGAUAAAAUAGAAGCCCCCUGCCUGGCAUACAUGAGCCAUCACCAUCACCUAGCAUCUCUGUCACUGAAGCUUUUUUUUUUUUAAUUGUUCCAGCAGAACCUAAAUGGUUCUCUGAGUAUGUAACAAAUGCUUCCUCACGCCUGUGUCCUCCCCUACCUGUUUCCCUCCUACCUGGCCAGCUCCUACUCCUUCCCCGUGAAGCAGCAGCACCUAUAGCUUCCCCAAGAAAGCCCUCCAUCACUCACCCAAGCAGACUUCUAAGCCCCCUCCCAUUCUGUCCCUGCAGCUUGUCACGUAGUGUCCUUAUUUGUGUUUAUGUAUCAGUUCCCCUUGCGAGAAGGUGCUUUUCAUCUGUGGACCCUCAGCCUCGGCUUCAGCAAUAGCAGAUACAGGCAGUGCCAGAUCGAUCCUUCUCCUUUGCCUUUUGCUGCUGCUCUCGCUAGCACUGUGUUUGCUACAUUUGGAAGGCAUGGUACACUUCACAGUAAUAUUUUCGAAAGAAAAUUAAACAGAGAGAGAAUGCUGCAACACUCAAGAGACGCUUGAUACACAAGAUUGGAUACUGCUGCCUACAAGUCAAAGCAUACACUGCUAUAUGGACUAUUUUUUAUCUAGGUGAUGACCCAUAUUGCAGACACAGCACUGACAAAGCAGCAGAGCAGUGUGGCUGUAGCACCCAGCAACACUUUGAUGGUGGACUAAUCACUUCUGUCUCUGGGCCUCAGUAUUCCCAUCAGUAAAAUCAGAGAGUUGGGCUAAAUAUCACCAAAGGUCUUUCCAGAGAGAGCAUCCAAUGAUCCUGUGACUAGCUCACGGCCACCUAGUGACACAGGAAGAGGCAAGGUCGUCUUUGUAUCCUGUGGCGGAGACUGCUAGCCUUUCACCCUAACUUGGUUUCCUGUUCCUCCUGAGUUCACUCUACAAGUCUCUCAGCUUCCCUUGUAGUUCGGCGCGGCCAUGUUUUCAUCAGUGGCUUCUGAGCAGAAAUCACAAGGAUCAGCUCCAGCUGGCGCGGUGGACAGCUGCCCUCGACAGAAAUACUUCAGUGUCCAGUUUUGUUUAUCAACACAUAGAGGAAAUGGGAGAAAUAUAUUAGGCCAAGCCCAGAAAGAAAUGUGGAUCAUUGAGGCUGCCAGUCUGCCUUUCUCUGUGUUUCCUCUUCAACCAUUUGUUCAUUCAUGAAUCUUGGCUGAGCUCCUGCCACCUGCCAGGCACUGAAGACACAGAGACUUGGAGCACAGAACUACACUGGUCCACCUCUAUUGACAUCUCUUCUACACGGUCAAGACGGAAUAUGUCGUGAUACCACUCAUUCCCCUGGGCUCACUGGAUGCCUGAUUGGACUUCAAAGUGAGUUUUAGUCAAACGUAGCUAGGCCAGGAGCUUUAAGCCUUUUAAUUGUGCAAAUGACCUCAGAGAGUAAAGGGCCUGGCUUGGUGCUUGUGUAGAGUACACUCUCAAUAAAUGUCCGUUUGUUUCCUUGAGAAUUUGGCAAAUAGGAAGAAGGGCUGGGAGAUGAAGGCCUGAAAUCAUUGAUUUUAGUAAGUCUAGAUUUUUGCCCUUUUAAAGGGAUCUGGGCCAGAGCAUUUGUUCAAAAAACAUCACUGAUGCACUAGGUGCGUGGGAUACAAAGUGAACAAUACACAGCCUCAUCCUCAAAGAGCCAAGGGAGAGGGCAAAAGACACAGACCAGCAAACAGGCAAUUGCAACACAGAGUGAUAAGCCGAGGAGAGGAAGUACAGGAUGUUGCUUAGCCACAAGCGAGGGCAACUAGCCCUGGCUGGUGGGUGGGGUUAGGGUGGGGGUAGGAGAUCAGGCAAGGCUUCCUGUAGGAAAUGACAUAUGACCUGAGACUUGAUUGACACUAGGAGUUAGCCAGGUAAUGUGUCUGGAACGGACAUAGUGUCCCAGGCAGAGGGAACAGUAUCUGCAAAGGCUCAGAGAGGAUCUGAGACUGCCAGUCUGGCUGGAGACUCAUGUGCAAGGGAGGGAAGACUGAGCGUUGAGGCUGGCAAGGUAGGCAGAGGACAGAUGGUAAAGGACUGCUGAAGGACUCUAACAGAGAGCUGCCAACACAGAGAAAUCUGGGUCCCCAGGAUUCUGGCAUCUGUCAGGGUUUUACUUGGCCAGGUCCUAGGAGAAGGGGAAAGAGCACAGAUGUAGAAAGAAGGGGCUAUAAGACAGGAUAAAUAAAGGAGCUAACAACUGUUACCAUUACCUGUUGCCAUCAAGUCGAUUCUGACUCACGGCGGCCCCAGGUGUUACAUGUGUUGCAGAGCAGAACUGCUGCACAGGGUGUCCUUGGCUAUAAUCUUUACGGAAGCAGAUCACCAGGCCUGUCUUCAGCAGUGUGGCAGGGUGGAUUUAAACUGCCAACCUUUAGGUUAGUUGUUGUUGUUAUUUGUCUUUGAGUUGAUUCCAACUCGUGGUGACCCCAUUUGUGCAGAGUAAAACUGCUCCGUAGGGUUUUCAAGGCUUUGAUCUUUCAGAAGCAGAUUGCCAGACCUGUCUUCCACGGCGCCUCUGGAUGGGUUCGAACCCACCAACCUUUCGGCUAGUAGUCAAGUGCCUAACAGUGUGUACGCCACCCAGCGGCCUUCUAAUAAUUAUUCAACAUCUACAGAUGUUCAACUUCAUCAGUCAUCUAGGAAAUGCAAAUUAAAACCACGGUGCAUGCCUAGCUAGAAGCAAGUAGGGAGGGAUUAGAAUGUGGCCGUGACUCCACCCACCCUCAUCACAAGCUGAUCCCCCAGAGCCCAUGCCCCUGAGGAGCUUACAACCCACUGCGAGGAAAAGGCCAAGAUACUUUAAGAAGUAAAAUUUUAGUGAGGCAAAGAUACUGGGCUUAGAGAAUGUCCACCUUCCAUGUCUGCCUCCUCUUCUCUCCCAGCCUUAGUCUGACCUGACAGUUCAGCUAUCCGGAAUAUUCAGAUAGUUAGCCAGAAAACAGAUUACUCAAAUAUCCAGAACAUAGAUUUUCACAGCCCCAGACCCUUCCAAGAGCCAACGAAUUCACUGGGAAAAACAGGCUUUAGACCCAAUCAGGCUGGAGUUCUGCCUCUGCCUCUGCCCCUGACCUGUCCCGAAAACCCUAUGGGUCAGUUCAACUCUGCACACAUGGGGUCACCACUAGUGGGAAUUGACUCUGUGGCAACUACCAACAAGAAGCAGUGAAACGUGUACAGCACAGGUGAGCUUUGUAUAUGUGCAGGGUAUCUCUGGAAGGAUUCAUAUAAACCAGCCACAGUUGGCUCUGGGGAAGGAGACUGGGUGGGAGAAGGGAAAGGGAGAGAAGUUCACUGUACACCCUUUUGUUCCUUUUGAGUUUGUACUAAAAAAAAUAAAUAAGUAAAUAACAUUUUAAAAGUUUUUUAAAGCCUAACGUGAUUUUGUGCUCAAAGCCAUUUAUAUAACAGUGGGAGGGAGAGGUGGGUUUGACUCCCAGGUAGUCCUGUUUGUGUGUCCUAAACCAAGCUACCUACCUUCUCUGAAGGAGUCCCGGUAAUACAAUGCUUAAGUGCUCAGCUGCUAACUGAAGGGUCAGCAAUUCGAACCCACCAGUGGCUUCACAGGAGAAAAGACCUGGCAAUCUGCUCCCGUAAAGAUUACAGCCUAGGGAACCCAGUCCUGCUCUGUCCUGCAGGGUUGCUGUGAGUCGGCAUGGGUUAGACCACACAAAACAACAACAGACCUUCUCCGAGCCUCCUACUUGUUGCUGUUGAGUUGAUUCCGACUCAUGGUGACACCAAGUGCACAGAGUAGAACUGCUCCAUAGGGUUUUCAAGCCUGUGGCUUUUCUGGAGCAGAUCAUCAAGCCUGUCUUCCGAGGUGCCGCUGGGUGGGUUUCAACUGCCAACCUUUCAGCUAGUAGUCAAGUGCUUAACUGUUUGUGCCACCCAGGGACCCUGAGCCGCCUACCACCUAGCUAAAAUGGAGGUGAUGAUCCUCCAUUGGUGGUUGUGAGGGUGAUGGGUGAAACCUGGCAACACUUACAGAGGCUCUGUACGUGCCAAGCACUCUUCUGAACGUUUUCUGUGUGUUGUCUCAUCCUCAGGGCGACCCUAGGGGAGGGACACUACUCUCCUCCUCCUCAUUUCACAGAUGAGAAAACUGAGGCCCAGAGAGGCUGAGGCACUUGCCCCUACCUCCACUCUGCUGCCUCUCAAUAGAGAAUUCUUAAAUUUCAAACAUUUUUCAGAUUAAAAAAAAAAAGUCUCAGAGAGCAGAAUGUCUCAUUAGGGGGAGAGUAAUUGGGAGUGUGUAGCAAGGUGUAUGUGGGUUUUUGUGUGAGAGACUGACUUGAUUUGUAAACUUUCACUUAAAGCACAAUAAAAAUUAUUUAAAAAACAGAAGUCUCAUGGCAGACUUUAGAUAUGGUGACAGGCUUUUGAGGGGAGUGUUGGUUAAGGAAUCAGCAAAGCAGGUAAGGAGACGCAGCAAGCAAGAGAAAGAGAAGUCGAUUUCUAAUGAAGGUAAGGAUUUUGCAGUCAGAGAAAGCAGUUGAAUUGUAGCCUGCUUGUAAGCUUUUUUUUGUUUUACAUUUGAUUUUGAUUUUUAUAAUUUAUUUUAUUUUUUGUUGAGAAUGUACACAGCAUAAAUAUUAAUUUUAAAUUUUGAAUUAUAUAUUGCAGGAGGACACCAUGAGUUGUUCAGGACUUAGGGUCUCUAAAAACAGUAAGAGGCUGGAGCAAACUUUGAGGCAGGGCUGCUUCCACCAUGUCUCUCAAACGCAUCCUACACAGAGUUACCUUCCACUGUGUCACUGAUUGUGCCUGUGAUCGUUCUUGUUUUUGGUGUAUGUGCUGUCGAGCUGAUUCUGACUCACAGAGACUCUAUAGGACAGAGUGGAACUGCCCCAUAGGGUUUCCUAGGCUGUAAGCUUUACGGAAGCAGAUCACCAGAUCUUUUCUCGCAAGGAGCAGCUGGUAGGUUCAAACUGCCCACCUUUCAGUUAGCAGCCGAGCACUUAACCACUGUGGCACCGUAGAAGGUAUUUUUAUGGUUGACAUCUUGAUAUUAACUUGUCUGUGGUCAUUUACCUCUUUUUCAUAUAACUGAGUCAAAAAACAAUUCUAGUGAAUUGAAUGCUGCAGGCAACUGAGUUCUCAAGUUCAUUGAGCUUUUACUGAAUUUUGGGGGGAAAAAUUCACCUGCACUUCCUUAAAAAAGAUUUUCACAGUCAGGGAUGAGGCUGAAUUUGUACGGGGUGAGAGCACUUACUUUGUCCUGGCUGAGCUGAAUAGCCUCUCUUUCACGAAGUCCUUAUCCCCUGCUAAUGCGCAGGCCCUCCUCCGCCCCCAGGACUCUCUGUCCCCUGCAGCCCUGGACCCUCCUCAUUUCCUGCUGGGCCCCCAGGAAAUACCAAGAAACUCCCAGCUCCCACAGCCUUCAAGUGGCGCUAAUGCUAGCCUGAUAGGGAGCUACUAGAAUGCUAGGGCCCACCCUCCUCUUUGUAGCCCCCUUAGCGUCCAGCCUGGCAGCAGGCAGCGCCCAAACAGGAGGACCAUGCAAAGGCUUCAACCCCACUGCCAGUUCUCAGGGCAAACUCCCACCAGCUCCUUCCUGCCUGACCCCUAGCAGCCAUUUUCAGCAGCUCCUGCUGCUCCCAGGAGCAAGCCCAGACCCUUCCAUGGAUCAGAGAUCCCCCACACUUAAUCCUGGCUGACCGGCCGGCCUUGCUUCUCCCUACAACCUUACAAGGCCUGGUUGCUGAGAAGAUCUUGAAUGCUCUCUACCUGGCUUCUCCCUCAAGCUGUUUCCUCUGCCUGUUUUACUCUGGCCUGUGCACAUCCUCACAUCUACCAAGGCCCAGGGAAAAGCCCAUCUUCCAGAAGAAGUCUCCCCAGCACCCGUCUUUUCAUAUUCUGUCUAUGCACACACACACUCACAUACACGCACACACACACACUCUCACACACACACACCCACAGACACACACACACACACACUCACACACACACCCACACACACCCUAACACAGAGUGUCACAGUGGAUUAAUCUCCCUCCUUCAUCCAUAUUCCUAUCGGGUUCUGCCUGUAUCUCUGAGAUGGCACUUCUCUCUUUCUGCUUUGGAGUAAAGCUCUCCAUGUUCUUCGUGUUCAU
Loxodonta africana (African savanna elephant) is the source of this 10379-nucleotide long non-coding RNA. RefSeq lists it as uncharacterized. The transcript is spliced from 3 exons. The record is from RefSeq and is a predicted model, not a curated record. Lineage: Eukaryota; Metazoa; Chordata; Mammalia; Proboscidea; Elephantidae.